Cinara cedri is the source of this 327-nucleotide non-coding RNA. Lineage: Eukaryota; Metazoa; Arthropoda; Insecta; Hemiptera; Aphididae. The record is from the annotation of a GenBank genome assembly.
GUCGCGUUAUCAUUAUUAUUAUUAUUGUAUUUCGGUUGGUCCAUGACCCCGGCAGUGUACACGCGUUCCAUAGUAGGAAAAAAAAAAUAAUAAAAAAAUAUACGGGUACAUUAUACGAGAGUGAAUCGAAUUUACACACACACACACACACACACACACACGUGUUUGUGUGUGUGCGCGCCGUCGCGUCGUGCGUAUAUUGUGUCAAACUGAAGCUAAUCGAAUGAACGGCCGUUGAUUACGCGCGAUUUAGUCGCCAUACACCGAGAGUCGCAUUAAAAUUCUCAUAUAUUGAAAAUAUAAUAAUAAUAAUAUAGUAUGUAAUCA